CCUACGGGAGGCAGCAGUGGGGGAUAUUGCACAAUGGGGGAAACCCUGAUGCAGCGACGCCGCGUGGGUGAAGAAGCGCCUCGGCGCGUAAAGCCCUGUCAGCAGGGAAGAAAAUGACGGUACCUGAAGAAGAAGCCCCGGCUAACUACGGGCCAGCAGCCGCGGUAAUACGUAGGGGGCAAGCGUGAUCCGGAUUUACUGGGUGUAAAGGGGGCGCAGACGGCGAUGCAAGCCAGGAGUGAAAGCCCGGGGCCCAACCUCGGGACGGCUCUUGGAACUGCGUGGCUAGAGUGCAGGAGGGGCAGGCGGAAUUCCUGGUGUAGCGGUGAAAUGCGUAGAUAUCAGGAGGAACACCGGUGGCGAAGGCGGCCUGCUGGACUGCAACUGACGUUGAGGCCCGAAAGCGUGGGGAGCAAACAGGAUUAGAUACCCGGGUAGUC
Molecule: ribosomal RNA, 440 nt
Filed under: uncultured bacterium
Lineage: Bacteria
Description: partial 16S ribosomal RNA
Rfam family: Bacterial small subunit ribosomal RNA
Source: RNAcentral